CAGUAGCCACGGGAAUACGUAGGUGGCAAGCGUUGUCCGGAAUUAUUGGGCGUAAAGGGCUCGCAGGCGGUUUCUUAAGUCUGAUGUGAAAGCCCCCGGCUCAACCGGGGAGGGUCAUUGGAAACUGGGAAACUUGAGUGCAGAAGAGGAGAGUGGAAUUCCACGUGUAGCGGUGAAAUGUGUAGAGAUGUGGAGGAACACCAGUGGCGAAGGCGACUCUCUGGUCUGUAACUGACGCUGAGGAGCGAAAGCGUGGGGAGCGAACAGGAUUAGAUACCCGUGUAGUCCCUGUCUCUUAUAC
This 301-nucleotide ribosomal RNA is filed under the name uncultured bacterium. RNAcentral describes it as "partial 16S ribosomal RNA". It matches the Rfam family "Bacterial small subunit ribosomal RNA", at positions 509 to 807 of the family's 1533-position model. The record is from RNAcentral.